This 742-nucleotide ribosomal RNA is filed under the name uncultured bacterium. RNAcentral's name for it is "bacterial SSU rRNA". It matches the Rfam family "Bacterial small subunit ribosomal RNA", at positions 8 to 767 of the family's 1533-position model. The record is from RNAcentral.
AGAGUUUGAUCAUGGCUCAGAGUAAACGCUGGCGGCGUACCUAACACAUGCAAGUCGAACGGUCUAUCAUGUCGUAUCGGUAGAUAGUGGCAAACGGGUGAGUAACACGUAAGUAAUCUUCCCUUAAGAGGGGGAUAACCUGGCGAAAGUCGGGCUAAUAUCCCAUAUAAUCCGCAGAGGGCAUCCUCUGUAGAUGAAAGGCGCAAGCCACUUAAGGAGGAACUUGCGGCCUAUCAGCUAGUUGGUGAGGUAAAGGCUUACCAAGGCUAUGACGGGUAGCUGGUCUGAAAGGACGAACAGCCACAGGGGCACUGAGAUACGGGCCCCACUCCUACGGGAGGCAGCAGUGGGGAAUUUUGGACAAUGGGCGAAAGCCUGAUCCAGUAACGCCGCGUGGGGGAUGAAGGUUUUCGGAUUGUAAACCCCUUUUGCAGGGAACGAUAAUGACGGUACUCUGCGAAUAAGCACCGGCCAACUACGUGCCAGCAGCCGCGGUAAUACGUAGGGUGCAAGCGUUACUCGGAUUUACUAGGCGUAAAGCGCGUGUAGGUGGGGCUUUAAGUCCAUUGUAAAAUCUCUCCGCCCAACGGAGAUAUGUCGAUGGAUACUGAAGUCCUUGAGUGAGGCAAGGGAAACCGGAAUUCCCGGUGUAGCAGUGAAAUGCGUAGAUAUCGGGAGGAACGCCGAAGGCGAAAGCGGGUUUCUGGGCCUAUACUGACACUGAGACGCGAAAGCUAGGGGA